Molecule: non-coding RNA, 125 nt
Organism: Heteronotia binoei (common prickly gecko)
Lineage: Eukaryota; Metazoa; Chordata; Lepidosauria; Squamata; Gekkonidae
Product: small Cajal body-specific RNA 11
Exons: 1
Source: RefSeq, a predicted model, not a curated record
GAUUCCCCUCUCCAGCACCCGCUGAACUCAGUGCAUGCUGCAGAGGGAAACUGACAAGUAUUUUUCCUUGGCUUUAAAGGGUGGGGGGAGCCCCAUCCCACCCCUUAAAGCCAAGGGAAAACAGU